GAGUUUGAUCGUGGCUCAGAUUGAACGCUGGCGGCAUGCCUUACACAUGCAAGUCGAACGGCAGCACGGGAGCUUGCUCCUGGUGGCGAGUGGCGAACGGGUGAGUAAUGCAUCGGAACGUAUCCUGGAGUGGGGGAUAACGUAGCGAAAGUUACGCUAAUACCGCAUAUUCUGUGAGCAGGAAAGCGGGGGACCUUCGGGCCUCGCGCUCCUGGAGCGGCCGAUGUCGGAUUAGCUAGUUGGUGAGGUAAAGGCUCACCAAGGCGACGAUCCGUAGCAGGUCUGAGAGGAUGAUCUGCCACACUGGAACUGAGACACGGUCCAGACUCCUACGGGAGGCAGCAGUGGGAUUUUGGACAAUGGGGCAACCCUGAUCCAGCCAUGCCGCGUGAGUGAAGAAGGCCUUCGG
Molecule: ribosomal RNA, 409 nt
Filed under: bacterium enrichment culture clone ALO1_GLFRUDD03G8OTY
Lineage: Bacteria
Description: bacterial SSU rRNA
Rfam family: Bacterial small subunit ribosomal RNA
Source: RNAcentral